This 73-nucleotide transfer RNA is filed under the name Saccharina sp. RNAcentral describes it as "tRNA-Glu". Lineage: Eukaryota; Phaeophyceae; Laminariales; Laminariaceae. The record is from RNAcentral.
CCUUCUGGGCCUGCUCAAAUAAAUAUGUAGAAAUUAUUUAUUAUGCUAAAAGUAUAAUAGAUAAUUUAAGCCC